Molecule: non-coding RNA, 24 nt
Filed under: Gossypium hirsutum (cotton)
Lineage: Eukaryota; Viridiplantae; Streptophyta; Magnoliopsida; Malvales; Malvaceae
Source: RNAcentral
AUUCCGAGAGCUCAACUUAUGGUC